UGGGGUGUAACUCUGUGGUAGAGUACUCACCUAGUGUGCUAAAGGUCCUGGGUUCAAUCCCCAGUACCACAA
RNAcentral lists this transfer RNA (72 nucleotides) under Ictidomys tridecemlineatus (thirteen-lined ground squirrel). RNAcentral's name for it is "Spermophilus tridecemlineatus (thirteen-lined ground squirrel) tRNA". It matches the Rfam family "tRNA". From Rfam's summary of the family: Transfer RNA (tRNA) molecules are approximately 80 nucleotides in length. Their secondary structure includes four short double-helical elements and three loops (D, anti-codon, and T loops). Further hydrogen bonds mediate the characteristic L-shaped molecular structure. tRNAs have two regions of fundamental functional importance: the anti-codon, which is responsible for specific mRNA codon recognition, and the 3' end, to which the tRNAs corresponding amino acid is attached (by aminoacyl-tRNA synthetases). tRNAs cope with the degeneracy of the genetic code in two manners: having more than one tRNA (with a specific anti-codon) for a particular amino acid; and 'wobble' base-pairing, i.e. permitting non-standard base-pairing at the 3rd anti-codon position. The record is from Rfam by way of RNAcentral. Lineage: Eukaryota; Metazoa; Chordata; Mammalia; Rodentia; Sciuridae.